This is a non-coding RNA of Immersiella caudata, 119 nucleotides long. NCBI's taxonomy places the organism in Eukaryota, Fungi, Ascomycota, Sordariomycetes, Sordariales, Lasiosphaeriaceae. The record is from the annotation of a GenBank genome assembly.
GGUCCGUUAACGCAGUGGUCAACGCACUUACUCUAGGUCAUCUUUUGUGAAUAAUCGCGGUUUAUUCACGAAAGAUUACCCUCAGCGAGAGGUCGUGGGUUCGAAUCCCACAUAGGCUA